AGUGAACGCUGGCGGUAGGCCUAACACAUGCAAGUCGAACGGCAGCCCAGUACGAGCUUGCUCUUACGGGUGGCGAGUGGCGGACGGUUGGGGAAUACAUCGGAAUCUACUUUUUCGUGGGGGAUAACGUAGGGAAACUUACGCUAAUACCGCAUACGCCCUACGGGUGAAAGCAGGGGAUCUUCGGACCUUGCGCGAUUGAAUGAGCCGAUGUCGGAUUAGCUAGUUGGCGGGGUAAAGGCCCACCAAGGCGACGAUCCGUAGCUGGUCUGAGAGGAUGGUCAGCUACACUAGCAGCAAGACACGGUCCAGAGUCCUACGAAAGGCAGGAAUGGGGAACAGUGGAGGAGGGGCGAAAGCCUAGACCAGGCAGACCGAGGGUGUGAAGAAGGCCUCCGUGUUGUAAAGCCCUCUGGAUGGGUAAGAAAAGUGGCGGGGUAGUACGCCGAUGUUGUGACGGAAACCAAAGAAUAAGCACCGGCUAGCUGGAUG
Molecule: ribosomal RNA, 492 nt
Filed under: uncultured bacterium
Lineage: Bacteria
Description: partial 16S ribosomal RNA
Rfam family: Bacterial small subunit ribosomal RNA
Source: RNAcentral